GCUCCCUCAAGGGAAAGCAAGGACACUGAAUGGGUCAGGCUCCAAUUUCAACCCCUUCUUAUGGAGCUCAUCUUACGUUUAUAGACCAACCCAAAUCCCAGCAUGGAAGAAAUAAAGAUAACAGCAACAAAGAAGAUUUGGAAGAGAAAACAAGCUGCCCUUAUUGCUCCAGCUUUUAUUCAAGAUUCCCCCCUUUUUUUGGGUUGGGGAUAUGGAGAGAGUUUUAAUCACAUUUUUAUCUGUUGUGGUUGUACUAAUUAGGAUCUAAACACAGAACAUAUUCAGGAUCCAAAAACGGGAUGUGUAAUAUUGAAUAAUGGCUAUCUCCUUUCUACCUUGUUGUUCCAAUCUUUGUACCAAUCUAAGGUGGAGGAGCUAGGUGGGACAGUGAAUAGAGCACAGGGCUUGAAAUCAGGAAGAUUCAUUUUCAUGAAUUCAAACUAGGAUCUAAAUACAGCACAUAUUCAGGAUCC
Molecule: long non-coding RNA, 473 nt
Filed under: Sarcophilus harrisii (Tasmanian devil)
Lineage: Eukaryota; Metazoa; Chordata; Mammalia; Dasyuromorphia; Dasyuridae
Description: lncRNA (ENSSHAG00000025317.1)
Source: RNAcentral